UGGGAGGCAAUGGUCCUGUGUUUGCCCACAAUGGCCUCAGGGUAUCGGCCUUGUCGGUUGACACGUCAGGGUGUCCAGGACCAUAGAGCUUGUCUGCAUCUCAUGCCUGGCAGUUUAUUCUGGUUUGGAAUCUGUUUCUCUGGCUGAACGGUCCCAGGGCUUCUAGCCUGCCCGUGGGGCUGUGGGGUCCAGGCCCCUCCCCUGCUCAGCCCCUGCUUUGGGCCCCCUGAGUCUGUCCUCUCAUAGCACAGACCCCAGGCCAGUCAGUGGGCCCCCAGGUGGGGGUGAGUCACUUCCUGGCUCCAGGCUGACAGAAGAGGAUUACUCUAAUUGUGCCCAGCUGACACCAGCGUUGGUGUGGGCUAACACAGGUGCCUGUGACCCUCGACCCUGAGAGAGAGAGAGAGAGAGAGAGAGAGUGUGUGUGUGUGUGUGUGUGUGUGUGUCCUCUUCCACAGGCCUUUGGGCAAAGUGGAAGCUCAACCUAGGUACCCACCCCUGAGCCUUCCUCUCCUUCCCCCUGUGCCUGCCCUCCCUCGUGGACAUUUAAUUCUGUUCAAGGCCCAUGCUAUGACACAUCCCUCCUUUCCUCCGAAUUAAACAACUCACAGAUAUCUUCUCCUGCACUGCAGGACCCUAUGCUGAGGCCCAGAGCUAAAUUCAUCCUCGACCCUGGUCUGGAGGGUCUAACAGCCUGGCAGGGGAGACACAGGCCAUGAUACCUAUGGCCCCAGGCAGGGGCCUGAGAAAACCACAGCGAGGUUUGGAAGAUGAGCAGGGGUUUUCCUGCGGGCAAAGGGGGCAAGGCACUCCUGGGAGAAGGAACUGCUCCUACAAACGCUGCUGCUCAGAGAAGGAGAGUGGCUGACACACGAGAAUGGAGAGAGCUAAGGCCAGAUCAGGGAGGGCCAUGAAUGCCAGAUUGCGGAGUUCAGCUUGACUGUGGGCACGAGGAAAUGGGGGCUCAGGCGUGCAUUUUAGAAGGUCCUGCAAGAAGAUGAAGCAAGGACUGCAGGAGAGCAGUUGGGAGGGGAUCAUCCUAAAGUGGAUGCUCAGUGGCCUAGGCUGGGCCAAGGAGG
Long non-coding RNA from Bos taurus (domestic cattle), 1079 nucleotides. Lineage: Eukaryota; Metazoa; Chordata; Mammalia; Artiodactyla; Bovidae. The record is from Ensembl.